AGCAGCCGCGGUAAUUCCAGCUCCAAUAGCGUAUAUUAAAGUUGUUGCAGUUAAAAAGCUCGUAGUUGAACUUCGGGGUUUACCCAUUGGUCAGGCUUAACUGUCUGUACUGGUGAGAUGAAUCUCUACCUUCUGAGGAACUUUCAUGCCAUUUAUUUGGUGUGAUUGGAAAUCAGGACUAUUACUUUGAAAAAAUUAGAGUGUUUAAAGCAGGCUAACGUCUGAAUACAUUAGCAUGGAAUAAUGAAAUAGGACGGACUGGUUCUAUUUUGUUGGUUUCUAGGAUCACCGUAAUGAUUAAUAGGGAUAGUUGGGGGCAUUAGUAUUCAAUUGUCAGAGGUGAAAUUCUUGGAUUUAUUGAAGACUAACUACUGCGAAAGCAUUUGCCAAGGAUGUUUUCAUUAAUCAAGAACGAAAGUUAGGGGAUCGAAGACGAUCAGAUACCGUCGUAGUCUUAACCAUAAACUAUGCCGACUAGGGAUCGGACGAAGUUAAUUUUAUAAUGACGCGUUCGGCACCU
RNAcentral lists this ribosomal RNA (520 nucleotides) under uncultured Diversispora. Its description in RNAcentral is "SSU rRNA". It matches the Rfam family "Eukaryotic small subunit ribosomal RNA", at positions 569 to 1088 of the family's 1831-position model. Lineage: Eukaryota; Fungi; Glomeromycota; Glomeromycetes; Diversisporales; Diversisporaceae. The record is from RNAcentral.